AAAUAGUUCCGGUAGGUAAGGUUACCACAGGGAUACGGAUUGUUGCCGCGAAAUGAUGGAGACAUCAUCAGUUGGUUUGAACAGGCCGCAUCGAAAAACAAGGUGCAGCAUAAUACAAUUUCAUCGCCCUGUGAUACUAAAGCUCAAACGGUGGCAGUUCCAU
Robinsoniella sp. RHS is the source of this 163-nucleotide regulatory RNA element. It matches the Rfam family "M-box riboswitch aptamer (ykoK leader)". Rfam says of the family: M-box riboswitch, also know as ykoK leader is described as a metaloregulatory RNA that sense divalent metals and function as a genetic control element of genes related to divalent metal transport in bacteria. It was first reported upstream of the B.subtilis ykoK gene and genes with related functions in other bacteria. The record is from Rfam. Lineage: Bacteria; Bacillati; Bacillota; Clostridia; Lachnospirales; Lachnospiraceae.